RNAcentral lists this ribosomal RNA (455 nucleotides) under Staphylococcus aureus. RNAcentral describes it as "partial 23S ribosomal RNA". It matches the Rfam family "Bacterial large subunit ribosomal RNA", at positions 388 to 846 of the family's 2925-position model. The record is from RNAcentral. Lineage: Bacteria; Bacillati; Bacillota; Bacilli; Caryophanales; Staphylococcaceae.
UUGUCUCUCUUGAGUGGAUCCUGAGUACGACGGAGCACGUGAAAUUCCGUCGGAAUCUGGGAGGACCAUCUCCUAAGGCUAAAUACUCUCUAGUGACCGAUAGUGAACCAGUACCGUGAGGGAAAGGUGAAAAGCACCCCGGAAGGGGAGUGAAAUAGAACCUGAAACCGUGUGCUUACAAGUAGUCAGAGCCCGUUAAUGGGUGAUGGCGUGCCUUUUGUAGAAUGAACCGGCGAGUUACGAUUUGAUGCAAGGUUAAGCAGUAAAUGUGGAGCCGUAGCGAAAGCGAGUCUGAAUAGGGCGUUUAGUAUUUGGUCGUAGACCCGAAACCAGGUGAUCUACCCUUGGUCAGGUUGAAGUUCAGGUAACACUGAAUGGAGGACCGAACCGACUUACGUUGAAAAGUGAGCGGAUGAACUGAGGGUAGCGGAGAAAUUCCAAUCGAACCUGGAGAU